This is a long non-coding RNA of Salmo salar (Atlantic salmon), 1498 nucleotides long. RefSeq lists it as uncharacterized. The record is from RefSeq and is a predicted model, not a curated record. Lineage: Eukaryota; Metazoa; Chordata; Actinopteri; Salmoniformes; Salmonidae.
UGUCUGUCUGUUCCAGAUGUCGACAUGGGUGACGCAUGUGCAGGAGACUUGGACCAGGAUAAGGUGUUUAGACAACUCUCCUGAGGAUACUCCACUACUACCGUCUCAGGAUCGACAACUGUCCAGAGAAUGCUGAGGUCACCCUGACCAACUUCAGAGCCUAUCAGACAGCAGUACUGGACCCUGAGGGCGACUCCCAGAUUGACCCCAACUGGGUGGUCCUCAACCAGGGUAUGGAGAUAGUUCAGACUAUGAACUCUGACCCUGGCCUUGCUGUAGGUUUGAUCUUCGGCUACCAGGACUCCUCCUCUUUCUACGUGGUCAUGUGGAAACAGACUGAACAGACCUACUGGCAGGCUGUACCCCUCAGAGCUGUGGCUGAGCCUGGCAAGGCUCAAGGACUUCCUUUCGCACCUUCUCCUUUUUCUCUCCCUCUCCCUCCUCCAGGCAGUGAAGUCUAAGACGGUUCCAGGGGAGUAUCUCAGGAACUCCCUGUGGCAUACAGGAGACACCAACGACCAGGUACACCUGCUGUGGAAGGACAAGGUAUCCUACCGCUGGUACCUACAGCACAGACCACAGGUUGGAUACACCAGGUCGCGUUUCUAAGAGGGUCCUAACCUGGUAGCAUACUCCAGUGUGAAGAUAGACACCAGUUUGGGAGGAGGGAGAUUGGGCGUCUUCUUUUUCUCCCAAGAAAACAUAAUCUGGUUCAACCUCAAGUACCGCUGCAAUAACACCAUACCUGAAGACUACCAGGAGAACAGUGCACAGAACACUGAAUAAACCCACCCGGGACGGGAGAGAGGGAGGGGAGGAGAAAGAUGGGGAGAGGGGUGGUUGAGAGGAAAAAAAGGGGAGAAUGGGACAGAGAAGAGUGGAGAGAAAGAGAUGGAGAGAGGAAAAGGGAAAAAGAGGAGAUGAGAUGAGAGAAGAGACUAAGCAGCAUAGUGCAUUUCAGUGGGCAUUAUUAGAGGAGUGAAGGGGAGGAUUAACACAAGCAAAUAUAAAAGCAUUAUUAUUACUGCUAGACUUGUGCCUGGGAUGAGGACUGAGGUCUACUCAUCAGGGCAACAGACUUCCGGACAUUACUUGUUAUUGCUGUGUUGACGUGCUCUGCAGUCUGUACAUACUGUACUAUUAUAAUAGGUUCAACUAGAAGAUUGAUGAUUGUAGUGUUGUUGUAAACCUGUAUGUGUGUUAUCUGGGGAAAGGGUUGGUGUAUCUAGGGGUUAAAACUUUAGUUAGUGUCUCCUCUACUAUGGAGGUAACAGAAGAGCAAGGGGAAUAGAUUGUUGUUUUGACUGGCCGUACAUUAAAAGACACCUGGACAUUGGUUGUCCAGGUGUCUUUUAAUGUAAGGCCAGUCAAAUCAACAAUCUAUUCCCCUUGUCUUUUAGUUAAUCUAUUAAUAAACAUUCUGAGCAUUUGUUAAAAUACCGUCUCUGGGUCUUUUGUUUGGUGUGUAACUGAAUAGAUUGCUAGUUGUUAAGUAGAU